GUUGUACCGUGCUCCCGUUUUCAGAUUAUUCCAAAAGAUAGGUGGCAGCCGCAUGCAAAGCACUUCCCGUUGAGAUAUGGGGAUCGUCCGCUACUCCUAUAUUAUUUAUCAACGGAUGCCACACACGACGUUUCUGCAUACUUCAGAAAUUUGCAAUUGUGCGCGCCCGCCGGAGUUAUGUCACGACUUGCUCACUGCUCGACCACUUUCGCUAGAGCUUUUCUACUUCACAUUUUAGUACCUUCACAUCUCACCUCCAAGACACUCAACCCAUCAAUAAAUCUGCAAAAUUUUGCACAACAAAAAACGCUUUUUAUGAUAAUCAUCGAAAAAUGUAACAGAGUACUUUUUAUUCUUUAUUUUCAUACAAUUUAUGUAAAUUAAUUAAGCUUGCUCCAUAUGUACACGUUUUCUUACUUACUUGCUUAUUGACUUAGCUACUACAGCUUCAUAAUCUGAGAUGCGUAGUCGAUUUUCAAUGAAGUUAUUUGCAUGCCAAGAUAUUAAAAUUGCCUAGUACAUGUUCUUUAUCUGUUCAACGAUACCUGUAUUACUAAUAGAAUAUUAAGCAUCAGUAAAAUACCAAAACGUAUUGCUCGGAGUUGAGAUCGGGAGCGGUUGUGAUUGCGGGUCCUUACAGAUAAGGCAAAUAGCUCAUACAAUUGUUGGAAUGGGGAGCUCGGAGCCUCUUUUGUUAAGGAAGUGGUAUCUAAUGGGACUGCCAUUGCCAGUGGCUAGACUUACAUGGUGCCAAUUGCUAUGCAGCGUACGGCCAAGUUGGUGAUAUCAAAGGGGUGAUACUACUUUGUUAUCCUCGGUACUACUUUAAUAACAUUUUGCUACCAAUACGGAGUGACGAUUGCCCACUCGGCACACGAUUGUACGCCUACGUUCUAAUUUGAAAUUCGUGUAGUGUGUUAUUUUCGCUUUAUCUGUAGUCUCAUUGACUUGUUUACGAUUUUACUAUUCGAUACCUAAUGACAGAUAGGUAAAAGGGUCCUAAUGUAUUGGCAAGUAAAUAAAUUCGAUUGCAACAGUUAUCACAACGGGCAACUUAACAAAUUUUGAAGUUCUUUUGAGAUUAAGACUAUGCUGUAUCUACGUGUUUUGGGAGAUAUUUAAGCGGUCUGUAAAAAGGAAUAACAUCUUAAAUAUGAAUACCAAAUACAUUAAAGCGCAUACGUAGUACUACUCAAUCUGCUGACAAAAAAUCACUGUUUGUAUUUUUUUAUUCACGUGGAGUACAAUAAUAAAU
Long non-coding RNA from Hyposmocoma kahamanoa, 1255 nucleotides. RefSeq lists it as uncharacterized. The record is from RefSeq and is a predicted model, not a curated record. The transcript has 3 exons. NCBI's taxonomy places the organism in Eukaryota, Metazoa, Arthropoda, Insecta, Lepidoptera, Cosmopterigidae.